AAGGUCCUAGCUUAAUAAAAGUGUCUGAGUUGCAUUUAGGAGAUGCAGGUUAAUACCCUGCGGACUUUA
RNAcentral lists this transfer RNA (69 nucleotides) under Erythrocercus mccallii. It matches the Rfam family "tRNA". Rfam says of the family: Transfer RNA (tRNA) molecules are approximately 80 nucleotides in length. The record is from Rfam by way of RNAcentral. RNAcentral also lists the same sequence under 1 other name. Lineage: Eukaryota; Metazoa; Chordata; Aves; Passeriformes; Dicruridae.